UACGUAGGGACCGAGCGUUGUCCGGAUUCAUUGGGCGUAAAGAGCUCGUAGGCGGCUGCUCAAGUCGAAUGUGAAAACUCGAGGCUCAACCUCGAGCCUGCAUUCGAUACUGGGCGGCUAGAGUCUGGUAGGGGGAUCUGGAAUUCCUGGUGUAGCGUUGGAAUGCGCAGAUAUCAGGAGGAACACCGGUGGCGAAGGCGGGAUCCUGGGCCAGUACUGACGCUGAGGAGCGAAAGCGUGGGGAGCAAACAGG
This 253-nucleotide ribosomal RNA is filed under the name uncultured bacterium. Its description in RNAcentral is "partial 16S ribosomal RNA". It matches the Rfam family "Bacterial small subunit ribosomal RNA", at positions 524 to 776 of the family's 1533-position model. The record is from RNAcentral.